UAAACUAAAAAGUCCUCAAUUCAACUCUCUCAAUCCUCUAAUCCUAUCUAAGAAAGCACUAUACUUGAUUUUUCAGGACCAACCAUGGCCAUACAUCAGUUGUUAGCCCCACCUUUUAUUUUUAAUGGUCUCCACAAAAAAAAAAAUAAAUAAAUAAAGAUGUAAAUAGCUUUUGUUCUUUUUUAUUACAGAUUCUGUGCUUUUUGAAAGGGACUUUUCUAGAUCUGUAUGUAUUGUUUUUGAGUUUUUCUGGAUUCUUUGAUAUUAGUUCAGGGAUAUUCUAAAUCUAAUUUUUUAGCAGAAGGAGGUUACUCCUAAGGGUGUUAAGUGUUGGCUGAGGUUCUUCCCUCAUUGGCCACCCCUAUGGCUAUAAGAGACUGAGAGGUCUUGGGCUCUGCCUCCUCCUCCACGAUUCUCACCCUGUUGUCUUUGUUGUUGGGUUGUAUCUAUGGUUACUUUGCAGAUUUCAAGCAGCUGGGUUUCUUAAAGAAUUGCUUAUGGUCUUCGUGUCUUCAUUUUUUGAGAUGUUCUCGAAGCCACUGCUGCUUCUGCUGCCAUAGAUCGCAAGCUCCUUCCUUGUCGAAUCUCCUUUGUACACACCAUUUCCAACCCCUUAGUCAUCUGAAGAUCGUGUUCUUUGUUGAGUUUCUAUGUUAAUUUGCAACAUGCAUGCCUCUAAGCCUACUCAGAGACUUGGACGCUUCCCGACGACUCUUCAUCUUCGGCCAAUAGGAUUUCCGGGUGUCCUUGCGGCGCCCCUUAUUGCUAGCAACCGGGUCUUCUUGCUCAGAUCAAGUAUCCAUUUUCUCUAAGGUUGUUAGGGGUUGGAUCGGGUUCUUUUAUUGGGUUGGUUUAUAAGAGCUUUUUUUAAAAAGAUUCUGGGCAUUUCUACUUUUCUACUUUUGGGCAACUCUUGUAACCCUCUUAAUGGACUUUUAUCUUGUGACAACAAAAAAAAAUUCAACAAGGAAUCUAUUAUUAAUGUCUGAAAUCUAUGAAUAGGUCUAGGAUUAAAUGGAGUUUGGUAAGCUUACUCUCUAUUUUUCUCCUCCUUCCCUUUUAUUUCCGAUCCCUUUUCUCUUUUUUGGGCUUGCUCUCUCUGUCCUAGUACCCGCCCAUUAUAUUCAUGUGAGUAGCCUUUACGUGUGUAUGUACUCUAAUUUUACUCUAUUUGAUUUCCUCCGCCACUAUCUGACUAUGAUUCCUAUUACUGCGAAUUUUGUUUUUAUACGAAAAUAGAUGUUUAGAUGGAUCUAAUUGUCUCGAGCUCACUUGAGUCUCACCUGAUUCCUAUUAUUGUGGGCUCUGGAGCAAUUUCUUUUUAUUUGCACUGCGAUAGAUCUGACCAUUUAGAGGCCGGUAGUCAAGUUAUAAUUAGAAGGGUUGAAUUUGAAAUUUAGUUUUAUUAUUAAUCGGUCGCCAUCAACAGCGAUACUAUAUAUAUAUAUAUAACUUAUAAGUAAUUUUAAAAAUAAUUAUCAAAUUACUAGUUUUUAAUUUCCUUUAAAAUUUUACAAUCAAACUGUCUAUCAAAUUUUUAUGUCACAUGGCAUCUCUACCCGUAUUGAGAGGAACUAUAAGGUCCUCUCAUUUAAUUUAUGAGAAGAAUAUCUCAAGUUUAAAUGCUAUAAUCAAGGUCUUGGAAUUGUCCUUCAAGGUUAGUUGGCCAUGCAAGUUGAUACUGAAAAUUUAUUUAUUAUUUUAUUUGACUGUCACACUAAUUUAUUUUGAAGAAUUUCACUGAGUAAUUAUACCGUACAACAACGGUUAUAUCACGUGCGUAAUCCUACAUUGUAUAAUUAGCUAAUAAGCAUUUGAUAAAUAGAUAUAUAUUUUAAUAGAUAAGUGUAUUCUUAAAACAUGGUAACUAGUUUUUUUUUUUUUUUUUUUUUUUUUUUUAUAAAAGAAUAACUAUGUCUUUAUUUUAUUAGUUGCCAUGUAAGCAUCCUGCAUGAUAUGGUAUACCGGUUGCCAAGCUUGUUUAGAUUUUAGCUUUCUUGUAGAUUGGUGGGGCUAGUGAAGCUGAAGUUAGUGAGAAGGAGAGAGUUACUGAUGCUCUGAAUGCAAGGAAGCAUUGUACCUGGUGGUGUUGCUCUUCUUUAUGCUUCUAAAGAUCUUGACAAGUUGCAAGCUGCAAAUUAAUUUUGAUCAGAAGAUUGGCAUCCACAUCAUUUAGAAUGCAGCCAAGGGUUUUUGCCAAUGGAAAUGCUAAUAAGUAGCAUGAUUUCUUUUAUUUUAAUGUUGGUACUCUCUCUCUCUUUUUUUUCUUUUCCUGGUAUCAGGUGAAUAGUUGAUAUGGUGAAGUCAGGAAUCAUUGAUCCAU
Molecule: long non-coding RNA, 2323 nt
Organism: Manihot esculenta (cassava)
Lineage: Eukaryota; Viridiplantae; Streptophyta; Magnoliopsida; Malpighiales; Euphorbiaceae
Exons: 2
Source: RefSeq, a predicted model, not a curated record